CCUACGGGAGGCAGCAGUAGGGAAUAUUGCUCAAUGGGGGAAACCCUGAAGCAGCAACGCCGCGUGGAGGAUGAAGGUUUUCGGAUUGUAAACUCCUUUUGUUAGAGAAGAUAAUGACGGUAUCUAACGAAUAAGCACCGGCUAACUCCGUGCCAGCAGCCGCGGUAAUACGGAGGGUGCAAGCGUUAUUCGGAAUGACUGGGCGUAAAGAGCGCGUAGGCGGGCUAGCAAGUCAGAUGUGAAAUCCUAUGGCUUAACCAUAGAACUGCAUUUGAAACUGUUAUUCUAGAGUAUGGGAGAGGUAGGUGGAAUUCUUGGUGUAGGGGUAAAAUGCGUAGAGAUCAAGAGGAAUACUCAUUGCGAAGGCGACCUGCUAGAACAUAACUGACGCUGAUGCGCGAAAGCGUGGGGAGCAAACAGGAUUAGAUACCCUAGUAGUC
This 440-nucleotide ribosomal RNA is filed under the name uncultured bacterium. Its description in RNAcentral is "partial 16S ribosomal RNA". It matches the Rfam family "Bacterial small subunit ribosomal RNA", at positions 338 to 795 of the family's 1533-position model. The record is from RNAcentral.